GCUUGACUGUAUCUUGGAAUUGGGUUCGGGCUUUUCUUGCGCAGACUAGGUGGGAGGCUAUGAAGAUUUUCUUCUGGGAAAGUUGGAGCCAACAGUGAGAGACCACUCUGGAAAGGCUAGAAUCCUAAUGGUGAUCCUUGAAUCAGGACACUUGACAGUUUCAGGUGGGCAGUUUUUCUGGGGCGGAAGCCUCAUAAAAGGUAACUGAGGCGCGCAAAGGUCCCCUCAGUCUGGACGGAAAUCAGACAUUGAGUGUAAAGGCAAAAGGGGGCUUGACUGCAAGACCCACAAGUCGAGCAGGGGCGAAAGCUGGCCUUAGUGAUCCGACGGUGCCGUGUGGAGGGGCCGUCGCUCAACGAAUAAAAGUUA
This 369-nucleotide ribosomal RNA is filed under the name uncultured alga. Its description in RNAcentral is "bacterial LSU rRNA". It matches the Rfam family "Bacterial large subunit ribosomal RNA", at positions 2098 to 2465 of the family's 2925-position model. The record is from RNAcentral.